AGAGUUUGAUCCUGGCUCAGGAUGAACGCUGGCGGUAUGCCUAACACAUGCAAGUCGUACGAGAGUUUUUAACUCUAGUGGCGGACGGGUGAGUAACACGUGAGAAUUUGCCUUUAGGAGGGGGAUAACAAUUGGAAACGAAUGCUAAUACCCCAUAUGCUUUCGAGUGAAAUGAAUUUUUUAUUUGCCUAAAGAGAAGCUCGCGGCUGAUUAGCUUGUUGGUAAGGUAAGAGCUUACCAAGGCGACGAUCAGUAUCUGGUUUGAGAGGACGAUCAGACACACUGGAACUGAGACACGGUCCAGACUCCUACGGGAGGCAGCAGUGGGGAAUUUUCCGCAAUGGGCGAAAGCCUGACGGAGCAAUACCGCGUGAGGGAAGAAUGCCUAUGGGUUGUAAACCUCUUUUUUCAGGGAGGAAUAAAUGACGUGUACCUGAAGAAUAAGCAUCGGCUAACUCCGUGCCAGCAGCCGCGGUAGGACGGAGGAUGCAAGUGUUAUCCGGAAUCACUGGGCGUAAAGCGUCUGUAGGUGGUUUAAUAAGUCAACUGUUAAAUCUUGAGGCUCAACUUCAAAAUCGCAGCUGAAACUAUUAGACUAGAGUAUAGUAGAGGUAAAGGGAAUUUCCAGUGUAGCGGUGAAAUGCGUAG
Molecule: ribosomal RNA, 648 nt
Filed under: uncultured bacterium
Lineage: Bacteria
Description: bacterial SSU rRNA
Rfam family: Bacterial small subunit ribosomal RNA
Source: RNAcentral